Molecule: transfer RNA, 71 nt
Filed under: Stegodyphus mimosarum
Lineage: Eukaryota; Metazoa; Arthropoda; Arachnida; Araneae; Eresidae
Rfam family: tRNA
About the family: Transfer RNA (tRNA) molecules are approximately 80 nucleotides in length. Their secondary structure includes four short double-helical elements and three loops (D, anti-codon, and T loops). Further hydrogen bonds mediate the characteristic L-shaped molecular structure. tRNAs have two regions of fundamental functional importance: the anti-codon, which is responsible for specific mRNA codon recognition, and the 3' end, to which the tRNAs corresponding amino acid is attached (by aminoacyl-tRNA synthetases). tRNAs cope with the degeneracy of the genetic code in two manners: having more than one tRNA (with a specific anti-codon) for a particular amino acid; and 'wobble' base-pairing, i.e. permitting non-standard base-pairing at the 3rd anti-codon position.
Source: Rfam by way of RNAcentral
GACUGUGUGGUGUAACGGUAGCACACUCGGCGCGUAUUCGAGAGGCCCAGGUUCGAGUCCCGGCGAGGGCA